CUAGCUUGCUAGGUGGAUUAGUGGCGCACGGGUGAGUAAUAUAUAGAUAACGUGCCUCUUAGUCUGGGAUAGCCAUUGGAAACGAUGAUUAAUACUAGAUACUCCUUCUAACUCUAAUGUUAGUUGGGAAAGUUUUUCGCUAAGAGAUCGGUCUAUAUCCCAUCAGCUAGUUGGUAGUGUAAGAGACUACCAAGGCAAUGACGGGUAGCGGGUUUGAGAGGAUGAUCCGCCACACUGGUACUGAGACACGGACCAGACUCCUACGGGAGGCAGCAGUGAGGAAUAUUGCACAAUGGAGGAAACUCUGAUGCAGCAACGCCGCGUGAAGGAUGACGCAUUUCGGUGUGUAAACUCCUUUUAUAUGUCAAGAAAAUGACGGUAGCAUAUGAAUAAGCACCGGCUAACUCCGUGCCAGCAGCCGCGGUAAUACGGAGGGUGCAAGCGUUAUUCGGAAUCACUGGGCGUAAAGGACGCGUAGGCGGGAUGC
Molecule: ribosomal RNA, 487 nt
Filed under: uncultured Campylobacterota bacterium
Lineage: Bacteria; Pseudomonadati; Campylobacterota
Description: bacterial SSU rRNA
Rfam family: Bacterial small subunit ribosomal RNA
Source: RNAcentral